GAUGAACGCUGGCGGCGUGCCUAAUACAUGCAAGUCGAGCGAACAGACGAGGAGCUUGCUCCUCUGACGUUAGCGGCGGACGGGUGAGUAACACGUGGAUAACCUACCUAUAAGACUGGGAUAACUUCGGGAAACCGGAGCUAAUACCGGAUAAUAUAUUGAACCGCAUGGUUCAAUAGUGAAAUACGGUUUUGCUGUCACUUAUAGAUGAUCCGCGCCGCAUUAGCUAGUUGGUAAGGUAACGGCUUACCAAGGCGACGAUGCGUAGCCGACCUGAGAGGGUGAUCGGCCACACUGGAACUGAGCCGCGGACCAGACUACUACGGGAGGCAGCAGUAGGGAAUCUUCCGCAAUGGGCGAGAGCCUGACGGAGCAGCGCGGCGUGAGUGAUGAAGGUCUUCGGAUCGUAAAACUCUGUUAUUAGGGAAGAACAAAUGUGUAAGUAACUAUGCACGUCUUGACGGUACCUAAUCAGAAAGCCACGGCUAACUACGUG
This 496-nucleotide ribosomal RNA is filed under the name uncultured bacterium. Its description in RNAcentral is "partial 16S ribosomal RNA". It matches the Rfam family "Bacterial small subunit ribosomal RNA", at positions 28 to 507 of the family's 1533-position model. The record is from RNAcentral.